UUAUAGAUGCUUCUUAUAGUGAUGAGAAUAUCAUUAAAACUAACUAAAAUAGUGUUCAAAAGUCAUUUGAGAAGAUUUGGGUUGAUCACGUGUGAUUUCUUCCGAUGAGGUAGCAAUCAGGACUUUUGUCAUGGGUCUGCUGGUUGGAGGUAAAUGUCUUGAGAUGAGUUAUUUGAACUCUGUGUUCCUCAGCUUCCUGGCUGUAAAUGGAGACCAUGGAAGUAGGGAGAGAGAGCACAGGGCGAGUAUUUAUGGAAGGGGCAGGGAAGUAUUAAUGUCAUUGUGCAAGUCAUGAGUGAAGCUUCCUCUGCAAGGGGUGGUUCUUGAUACUUGGAUUCAGUAAAGCAGUUUCAAACUGGAGUAAAUGUGAAGAAAGGAGCUGGGAUGACCCAGGAAACAGCAUAACUUGGGAGAAGACUGACAGGACUGAGAAGGCCAUUUGGCCUUGGUGGCUGCAAUAACUGCUAAAGGCUGGACUCAUUUCUUUGGACACCUCUUUGCUAUUGUGCCACAAUUGUAAACAGAUAUGAACAUCUUUGAGGAGGGUGCCAGGGAAUCCACAGCAGAUAAAGCAGCUACAAAUCUGCAAGGAAAAAUACCCAACACCACCCCUUCCUCUGAGCAGGCUUCCUGCUUCAUCCUGCACCUGCCUCCUUGAAAGAAAACAAGACAUCAGAUACUUAUUCAAAUAAUGCAAUAGCUGAUCAGCAGAGUAUCUACACAAUGGUGUUGAGAUUUCAUCACACUGGAGGGCAGUGAGGCUCGGCUUCAAGCAGAUAAGGUGUUUUGGUGGAAAGACAGGCAAGCAUGCAAAUAAGUGGAAAGUGGGCUUAAGAGAUCAGAAAGGAUCCUGACUUCCUGUCCCCAAAAGACGUGCAAAUCAGUUUUUAAAGCUCAAGCAAUCCCUGAAAGCAUCAUUUCAGUUGUAUGGUGGGAUACAAAAAAUGCAAAUGCUAGCUGCUUUUUUGUCUAGGUGAAAUUAGUGAUGUUUCUCUGUUUCUCAAUGAUACAACUGCAGAAGGGAUGAGCAAUAUGCAAGCUUAGCCUCAUCUGAAAGUGACACAAAUAGCCAGAAGUUUUUCCUUUGUCUGCAGUGGCCUUUUAUCUGUACAUUUGUACUAUAUGGCAAAUUAUAUAGAAAUUAAAUAAUUCAUACAAAUGAAUGCAUAAUUAAAAGUUUAGAUGGUCUUUGGUACGUUAAUAGUUUAAGUGACAAUGUAAAUUGUGAGCCAGAUAUUCAACUGCAAUGUCAACACUUGAACCAUUUGCAAAUCUGAAAAUAUUUGAUGAAAGUACUUGUGACUAGCUUUGAAUAAUUUAUAGGUUCAUUACCUUCACAGUCUGUACACAAUAGUUCACUUAGAAAUAAAGGUGAAAUUCAUCAAAAA
Non-coding RNA from Anas platyrhynchos (mallard), 1388 nucleotides. The record is from RefSeq and is a predicted model, not a curated record. Lineage: Eukaryota; Metazoa; Chordata; Aves; Anseriformes; Anatidae.